UACGGAAGGCAGCAGUGGGGAAUAUUGCACAAUGGGCGAAAGCCUGAUGCAGCUAUGCCGCGUGUAUGAAGAAGGCCUUAGGGUUGUAAAGUACUUUUCAUCGGGGAGGAAAAAACAAAACUAAUAAUUUUAUUUCUUGACGUUACCCGAAAAAGAAGCACAGGCUAACUCCGUGCCAGCAGCCGCGGUAAUACGGAGGGUGCUAGCGUUAAUCAGAAUUACUGGGCGUAAAGAGCACGUAGGUGGGUUUUUUUAAGUUCAGAUGUGAAAUCCCUGGGCUUAACCUAGGAACUGCAUUUUGAAACUGAAAUACUAGAGUAUCGUAGAGGGAGGUAGAAUUCUAGGUGUAGCGGUGAAAUGCGUAGAUAUCUGGAGGAAUACCUGUGGCGAAAGCGGCCUCCUAAACGAAUACUGACACUGAGGUGCGAAAGCGUGGGGAGCAAACAGGGAUUAGAUACC
RNAcentral lists this ribosomal RNA (459 nucleotides) under uncultured bacterium. Its description in RNAcentral is "bacterial SSU rRNA". It matches the Rfam family "Bacterial small subunit ribosomal RNA", at positions 340 to 786 of the family's 1533-position model. The record is from RNAcentral.